GACGAACGCUGGCGGCGUGCUUAACACAUGCAAGUCGAACGGAAAGGCCCUGCUUUUGUUGGGGGCUCGAGUGGCGAACGGGUGAGUAACACGUGAGUAGCCUGCCCUUGACUUUGGUAUAACUUCAGGAAACUGGGGCUAAUACCGUAUAGGAGCUCCUGCUGCAUGGUGGGGGUUGGAAAGUUUCGGCGGUUGGGGAUGGACUCGGGGCUUAUCAGCUUGUUGGUGGGGUAGUGGCUUACCAAGGCUUUGACGGGUAGCCGGCCUGAGAGGGUGACCGGCCACAUUGGGACUGAGAUACGGCCCAGACUCCUACGGGAGGCAGCAGUGGGGAAUAGUGCACAAUGGGCGGAAGCCUGAUGCAGCAACGCCGCGUGCGGGAUGACGGCCUUCGGGUUGUAAACCGCUUUCGCCUGUGACGAAGCGUGAGUGACGGUAAUGGGUAAAGAAGCACCGGCUAACUACGUG
RNAcentral lists this ribosomal RNA (468 nucleotides) under uncultured bacterium. Its description in RNAcentral is "partial 16S ribosomal RNA". It matches the Rfam family "Bacterial small subunit ribosomal RNA", at positions 28 to 507 of the family's 1533-position model. The record is from RNAcentral.